AUUUAGCUUUUUUUAAAAUUUCUUUUUACAUUAAAAUGAACAAUGAUUUAUUCAAAUAUAUAUAUAUAUCUCCAGUUAGAAAAAUCUUACCUUCUUCACCUACUCCUUCCAACAAAUACAACUAAUGCACCAGUGGAGGUUGAGCCGGCAAAAGCUGACGACUGUCCUUAGGCCAUUCAGGUUUGUGACUGAGCUUCUUGGAGGUGAGACAUAUGUCUCAUGUUCAGUGGUUUUACCUGCUUACUGCCACCUGCAUCACACCAUGGAGGUCUCCAAUGAUGACCCAGACUACAUGGUGAAAUUUAAGACUGCCUUUACAAAGAACCUAUUCCAACAUGUAGCUACACUCAACCAUCAGUGGCUCAAGGGGGAGAGGGAGAAGAGGUUUGGAUCAGCCUUGACGUUACUGCAGGAACAGUGUAAAGAUGCCACCACAAAGGAGCCAGCAAAGACAAAGAGCCUCCUCCUCUCUUCAAUGUCUCCAGACUCUGAUUCAGAUGAUUCAGAUGAGGAAGCCCUGUGUAACAGGGCCCUGAGCAGAAUCCACCAUCAGCGAUAAAGACUGCCCACUGCAGUCUAAUACAAUUAUCUAAUACAGUCUAACACAAUUAUCAUUGUUGUUUGUUGAAUCCUAAUGGCAACUGUAGUGUGUAAUCAGGUAUAAACACUUUAUUUACAAGACAAAACAUCUGUUACAGGUCAUAACAGAGUUUAAAUGUGAAGCUGGUCAAAUAACCUUUCAUGUUUCUGCCUUAGUUUUUUAAGAAGAAAAACUGCAAUUUAUGUUGAAAAUGUUAUUAUUAUUAUAAGAGACACUACCAUUUUAAAAAUGUACUUAAAUUAGCAUUUUAUUUUUUUAAAUUGAGUCCCACCCCUACUAAUUAAUUAAUGAAAAGUGUUAUUAAUUAAACAAAAUUUAAAAUAAACACAUUAUUAAAUGAUUUAAAUAAAACAAAUAUGCAUCUAAUUAAUUAUUGAACUAUUUAUUUAAUUAAUUAAUUACAAUUUUAAUUAAGCAGUGAAACAUUUAAAUUAUUUAAUAACAUAUAUAAUUAAUAAAUUUUGUCCCUCAUGGCCUUCCAUAAAAGACAAGCCCCAGCUAGACUAAUUUAAAAUAACAAAGAACAAAAUGUUUCUCACCACCUUCAGCUCAACCUCUUGAAGAUGAAAGCCUGAAGUUCUCACAAUUUUUUCCUGACCAUCGAAAUAAAUCAGGAUCUGUAAUCUGAUAUGUAAACAUAUAAAUGUCUGAGUAUUGACUAGAAUGUAACAAAACAAAACAAAAAACACCCACCAACGUCACACCACCCAAAGAAGUUCAAUAUUUGAGAACACUAAUACAAAAAUUCACAUUGUAAAAAAACAACUAGUGACAGUUUCUGAAUGGUAUCUAAAUAUAUUUCACAAUAAUGCAAAAGCAUGUAGAAUACAUUAAAUUUUUUGUCAUAAAAUAAAAAUGCUAUUCUUAUUCACUUUUCAAUUGUCUUGUUAAUAGUAAACACAUCAGAAACAAAUAUCAAACAGAAGAGAUACAAACUAGAGGAAUAUAUACAAAAGAAGAGAAAGGCACACAAUGGAGAGCAAAGUGCUUGGAAGCAGUGGAAAAGGACUUGGUCUAAUAAUGAGUAAGCUGAAGAGGAAAUGGGUUUGCGCUCAUCUAGAAGAUCUUCGUGGUUAGGGGAGUUGGCUGGCCCAUCCUUAACACGGUUCUGUUUUUUCCAUCCCAUUGUAGAAAAGUGUUUGUUCAUAUGGGGCUGUUUGAUUGUGGGGGUGAUUUCUCAGAUGCUGAGCAGUCCAUGAAUUAACCUGAGGUCAAAGACAUUUGUGCAGCUGCUGAUGAUCUUUCCAAAGACGCCACUGCUACCUUUUUAUAGGGACACUGUUAACCUGCCUCAAGAAUAUAGAUAAAACACUUUGGCUAAUAACAGUUCUCUCCUAAAUGUAACAGUUCUUAGUAGCUUCUUAGCUUUGUUGUUAGUUGUCAGAAUACUUUUACUGUAAACUAAAUGUUAGUUUUGCAGUUUGACCCAGGGAUGUAAAACUCAAUUUACAUCAUGAGCCACUUACAAGCUACUUUGAUCCUAAGUGGGCCAGCCAGUGAAUUUACAUGAUAAAUGUGUAAAAUUACACAAAAAGUAAUUCAUUAUCCAGACUAUCCCAUAUUUCUAAAGAUCUAAAAGAUACUUUCUCCUGUGAAUUUAUAUAGUAGAGAAAUUUCUGUCAUUUAAUUGUUUAUCUAUUAAUUACUUUGCUGUAGUAUAAAUGAGGCGGGCUCUUUAUUAAUAGGAAAAGCUUUAAACUUAUGAAAAUACAGUUAGAAGUUCAAAAUCUAUGCACUCCUUCACAUUUUCCUGAGCCAUCCAGAGGGUCGGAAUGGAGUCUUUGACGGGCCGUGUUAAAUCUCCCAAUUCUUUUAUCUUUGGGCUGAAGGAAGAACAGCACUCGGUGUAUAAAUGCUCAAUCAACAAUCUCUUCAUUCCAUACGAUUCUCAUUAUUCCAUACAACACUUUGAGCAUAAACAUCCGGAU
Molecule: long non-coding RNA, 2529 nt
Organism: Astatotilapia calliptera (eastern happy)
Lineage: Eukaryota; Metazoa; Chordata; Actinopteri; Cichliformes; Cichlidae
Source: Ensembl